This 460-nucleotide ribosomal RNA is filed under the name uncultured bacterium. RNAcentral describes it as "partial 16S ribosomal RNA". It matches the Rfam family "Bacterial small subunit ribosomal RNA", at positions 339 to 795 of the family's 1533-position model. The record is from RNAcentral.
CUACGGGGGGCUGCAGUAAGGAAUAUUGCGCAAUGGAGGCAACUCUGACGCAGCCAUGCCGCGUGCAGGACUGAAGGCCUUAUGGGUCGUAAACUGCUUUUAUUUAGGAAUAAACUCUUGUACGUGUACGAGACUGAAGGUACUAAAUGAAUAAGCACCGGCUAACUCCGUGCCAGCAGCCGCGGUAAUACGGAGGGUGCAAGCGUUAUCCGGAUUUAUUGGGUUUAAAGGGUGCGCAGGCGGACUAUUAAGUCAGAGGUGAAAUCCCGGAGCUCAACUUCGGAACUGCCUUUGAUACUGGUAGUCUUGAAUACGGUUGAAGUAGGCGGAAUGUAGCAUGUAGCGGUGAUAUGCAUAGAGAUGCUACAGAACACCGAUCGCGAAGGCAGCUUACUAAGCCGAUAUUGACGCUCAGGCACGAAAGCGUGGGGGGCGAACAGGAUUAGAUACCCGGGUAGUC